Suricata suricatta (meerkat) is the source of this 104-nucleotide small nuclear RNA. NCBI's taxonomy places the organism in Eukaryota, Metazoa, Chordata, Mammalia, Carnivora, Herpestidae. The record is from Ensembl.
GUCCCACAGGCAGCACAUACUCUAAUAUGGGGACAACACAGAAGAGAUUGGCCUGGCCCCGACGCAAGGAAGAAAUGCAAAUUUGUGAAGCGUUCCAGAUUUUA